Molecule: long non-coding RNA, 170 nt
Organism: Amblyraja radiata (thorny skate)
Lineage: Eukaryota; Metazoa; Chordata; Chondrichthyes; Rajiformes; Rajidae
Exons: 3
Source: RefSeq, a predicted model, not a curated record
GCCUUGGGUGCUGCCUGGGUGGAUUUUGCACGUCCUUCCUGUGACCGCGUGGGUUUCCUCCGGGUGCUCCGGUUUCUUCCCACAUCCCAAAGACGUGCCGGUUUAUAGCUUAAGCGGCCCUCUGUAAAAUACGGAGUGGAUGGGAAAGUGGGACAACAUAGAACUAGUGA